This is a long non-coding RNA of Orcinus orca (killer whale), 1279 nucleotides long. RefSeq lists it as uncharacterized. NCBI's taxonomy places the organism in Eukaryota, Metazoa, Chordata, Mammalia, Artiodactyla, Delphinidae. The transcript is spliced from 3 exons. The record is from RefSeq and is a predicted model, not a curated record.
AGUGAGCUUGGCGACGCACAGGAGGGACGCGCCACAGGGGAAGAAACUGGGUCUGUGUGUCGGGGCCUGCACCAUUUCGCCCGGUUCUGCCCUGGCAGAUGCACGCCAUUCCUUACCUUUCUUGAUCACGGACUGGUCCAGGAGGCUCAUUCCCGGCUCGUCCAUGGCCUGCAAAUAGGACAGGGUGGUGGUAAGGGCGCUUGUAGAUCUAGUCUCCUUUCGCUUCCCAAGCCCCUGCUGUCCCCGGUCCCUGUCCUGUCUGCUUCACCCAACGCGCACCACCCGUCGCCUGCGGCCGGCGACGGGCGGGACCAGGAUUCACCGGCGCUCCACCAUUUGCAGCUGAGUUGGAGCCCUGGGUGCCUCGCCAUGCCGUGCAAAAAGGGCAUUUUGGAACCUUAGACAGGCAACUCCUCCGCUUCGCUUCGCUCCAGGGAUUUCAGGGACUUCAUGCCGAGGACAUGACUUUCAGUACAUCCAAUAGAUAAAUGAAUGUUCCUGUCUAUGCAUAGCCAACCACAGUGGAGGAUGUGGCAGUGCCGCUUGGCCACAGUCUGCUGACGUGGAGGGGCGGAACUUCAUCUGUACACAGGAGCACGAGAGCCCCCCCAGAGGCCUCGCCACAUCAACAUGUGAGUGUGUCACCUGACCUGGCAGUGAAGCGUGUGGGCUGAGAAGUUGGAUGGCCCGCAUGGAGCCUCGACUCUGGCACGUACUGGCUGUAACACCUCGAACAAAUCACCUACCCCUGCUUGAGUUUCUUCACCUGGAGAAUCAGGAUGACGCUUGCUUCAUUGGGUACUUGGGAGGGCUGAAUGAGAGGACACUUGUGAAGUGUGUUUCGCAGGGCAUGUGUGCUGUGAGCUGCUGGGGCCUGGAAGGAAGAAGGUGCAGGACAGACCACACAGGAGCCAUCUUGUCACCAAUGAACAUUUAUUGAAUGUCCACAUGUGCACAGCUUUGAACUGGGCGAUCACAGAACGCACUGGGGGAGGGAAGGGGAGAGGGAAGCAAGGGAUCAGGUUCAUAAGAAAGGUAGUCCCUGCUGGAGCCGCCAGUCGCGUCUCUCUGCAGAGAGGAAUCACAAGCAGGGGUGGGAGUUAAAGCCAGGCACUAGGAUGGUGAUGGGGUGCAGUCACUAGGGAAACAUGCGGAUUCUGGGUAAGCAUCCCUUCGGUUCCUGUCUCCAGCCAGGCCAUAUGGCACCAAGGGGACAGGGAUCAGAUGCUCAGGUGUCCAAGCAGGGAAAAGGGCAGGCAAAAUAAAUAACUCCCCAACC